AAAAAAGUAGUCUCAGUUCGGAUUGAAGGCUGAAAUUCGCCUUCAUGAAGCCGGAAUUGCUAGUAAUGGCAGGUCAGCAUACUGCCGUGAAUACGUUCCCGGGCCUUGUACACACCGCCCGUCACACCAUGAGAGUUGGGGAUACCCGAAGCCUGUGAGCUAACUUUUAGAGGCAGCAGUCGAAGGUAGAAUCAAUGAUUGGGGUGAAGUCGUAACAAGGUAAC
This 224-nucleotide ribosomal RNA is filed under the name uncultured bacterium. RNAcentral's name for it is "partial 16S ribosomal RNA". It matches the Rfam family "Bacterial small subunit ribosomal RNA", at positions 1276 to 1500 of the family's 1533-position model. The record is from RNAcentral.